GUCCUCUUUUCCGUUGUUUAAGAAUUACUCUACUCUUGUAAUACACUUCGUUCAACGAUAGGACCAAAUCAACUUAAGGUCCCACGUAAAAUGUACGGACUAAGACCUGUUUAUUCGUAACGGGAACUUAUGUACCUACCACCGAGAAAUCGUCUGCAAUAUUUUCAGUUCUUUAGUUAUGGUCUCGGUCAAGAACGUGUAUACGAUGUCUUUCACAAUGAACCGGACUUCAUGAACGUACUUCAUUCUGUAGAUCACGUAUCUCUAGAUUUCGGUCGUUUAAAUGACCAUUUGGAAUUCCCGCUUCGUUUUUAAUGUCUAAAACCACAUUCACGACCAAACCUGUUAUGUUACCGAUACACACGAUGGAAACAUCCGUGACACUGUAUAUACAGUGGACUCUCUUAGGCGUUACUCUUGAUGAGGAUACGACGACUAUAAACCUCAGAACCUGAUUGCUAUAACCUCACACGAUGACCAUUUAAAGGUAUAUUACAGUUGCUUCCGGGUCGGUUAGAGUACGAUGUCUAUGAGCUACUAGGUAGUGGUUGUGGUGGUCUUCUACGGAUAUGUGGUCUUAAAACAAGGAAGUAUUUACUAACGAACUCCUUUCUACGACUACGUUCCGGAUGUACGCUCGUCGAAAACAGUGUGCGUAAAUAGUUCUCCAUACUCGUUUGACCACACCUGAACCGUCGUAUACAGUCCCCACAACAAUUAGGUUGUCUCUCUAAUUUCGUUUAUCGUCUCUACGAACGACAAGUAAUAAUGGAGGAAAAAUUACCGAGACUUCCUGGAACCUUAAUAUACUUCUGUAAGAUGUUCCUCCUUAGUAGAAAGUCAAAAAGUCCCUUACACAUACAGCCUGUUUCACGGUAUAAACUAUGAAAUAGUUUAUAUUCUUUCUUCAACUUUCCACUGGCCGGAUCUCUUUUUUAACAAGUACAACAACUCUUCGAUGUAACGGCGCGCUUACCCCUUUGUCUUUAACGAUAGGCACACAGACCUAGUAAGUAGUGCCCGUUGGUUAAGGACUAUAAACCACUUCCCAACGUUCGACUUCCCUACGGGUCGAACCUCCUUUAACUAUAACUGUAAGGUUCGUUCGCCCAACCGGUCAAGGCCCUCGUCAAAUGGCACGUAGGUCCCUGAAGGUACCCUACGAUGAUGUAUCGUUUCGUUCUAGAGAUGUAGCAGGUCAGUACUUUUGUUACAUAUUUCACAUUCACUACAAGGCCAAACACGGCAGUUACUAAGGUCAAGUACUACUUUCGAUACAGUACCAAAGGUGAAGAGCGCCGGGGUAUUGAAGCUGUCCGAAGUCUAGUGUUACGUCAGGACGAUGGUAACUGUAACUAAGGUAAAGAAGAGCUACGCUCGUUUGUUUGAACAUCGACUUUGUAUUGAAUUAAUAACAAACAUUCCACCAUUCCUCUUACUUCGCUAAGAUUACUAACAACACGUAUCUAGCUAUGAGAACUGUGUACCGUGCCAAAAUCAGCUCCGACGAGUUAAAGACAACAUGAGGGAGACAUUUGAUUAUAUUCUCACAAAUCUAUUGAUUUCAUCACUAGAUUUGCGAGAAUAUAAUCAAAUGUCUCCCUCAUCUACUCUUCUAACGCACACCCACGAUUAUUCACUGUGUCGAGUUACAUCCCAACAUGAUGAUUACGAAUACACAUUUUCUGAUUGA
RNAcentral lists this ribosomal RNA (1693 nucleotides) under Triticum aestivum (bread wheat). RNAcentral describes it as "partial small subunit ribosomal RNA". Lineage: Eukaryota; Viridiplantae; Streptophyta; Magnoliopsida; Poales; Poaceae. The record is from RNAcentral.